CGCCGACGUCCAAUUGGGGACGUUGAAGGGCCAAAUGGGGCCAGAGAU
RNAcentral lists this non-coding RNA (48 nucleotides) under unclassified sequences. RNAcentral's name for it is "gut-2 RNA". It matches the Rfam family "gut-2 RNA". Rfam says of the family: gut metagenomes. Environment (Cow rumen (57)) The record is from Rfam by way of RNAcentral.